ACUCCUACGGGAGGCAGCAGUAGGGAAUCUUCCACAAUGGGCGCAAGCCUGAUGGAGCAACACCGCGUGAGUGAAGAAGGGUUUCGGCUCGUAAAGCUCUGUUGUUAAAGAAGAACACGUAUGAGAGUAACUGUUCAUACGUUGACGGUAUUUAACCAGAAAGUCACGGCUAACUACGUGCCAGCAGCCGCGGUAAUACGUAGGUGGCAAGCGUUAUCCGGAUUUAUUGGGCGUAAAGAGAGUGCAGGCGGUUUUCUAAGUCUGAUGUGAAAGCCUUCGGCUUAACCGGAGAAGUGCAUCGGAAACUGGACAACUUGAGUGCAGAAGAGGGUAGUGGAACUCCAUGUGUAGCGGUGGAAUGCGUAGAUAUAUGGAAGAACACCAGUGGCGAAGGCGGCUACCUGGUCUGCAACUGACGCUGAGACUCGAAAGCAUGGGUAGCGAACAGGAUUAGAUACCCUGGUAGGAUAGCG
This 473-nucleotide ribosomal RNA is filed under the name uncultured bacterium. RNAcentral's name for it is "bacterial SSU rRNA". It matches the Rfam family "Bacterial small subunit ribosomal RNA", at positions 335 to 801 of the family's 1533-position model. The record is from RNAcentral.